UACGUAGGGGGCAAGCGUUGUCCGGAUUUAUUGGGCGUAAAGAGCUCGUAGGCGGUUUGUCGCGUCUGCCGUGAAAGUCCGGGGCUCAACUCCGGAUCUGCGGUGGGUACGGGCAGACUAGAGUGAUGUAGGGGAGACUGGAAUCCUGGUGUAGCGGUGAAAUGCGCAGAUAUCAGGAGGAACACCGAUGGCGAAGGCAGGUCUCUGGGCCACUACUGACGCUGAGAAGCGAAAGCAUGGGGAGCGAACAGG
This 252-nucleotide ribosomal RNA is filed under the name uncultured bacterium. RNAcentral's name for it is "partial 16S ribosomal RNA". It matches the Rfam family "Bacterial small subunit ribosomal RNA", at positions 524 to 776 of the family's 1533-position model. The record is from RNAcentral.